GACAAACGCUGGCGGCGUGCUUAACACAUGCAAGUCGAACGGUGAAGCGAGUGCUUGCACUCGUGGAUCAGUGGCGAACGGGUGAGUAACACGUGAGUAACCUGCCCAUCACUCUGGGAUAAGCACUGGAAACGGUGUCUAAUACUGGAUACGACCAACCCUUGCAUGGGGUGUUGGUGGAAAGAUUUAUCGGUGAUGGAUGGACUCGCGGCCUAUCAGCUUGUUGGCGGGGUAAUGGCCCACCAAGGCGACGACGGGUAGCCGGCCUGAGAGGGUGACCGGCCACACUGGGACUGAGACACGGCCCAGACUCCUACGGGAGGCAGCAGUGGGGAAUAUUGCACAAUGGGCGAAAGCCUGAUGCAGCGACGCCGCGUGAGGGAUGACGGCCUUCGGGUUGUAAACCUCUUUCAGCAGGGAAGAAGCGAAAGUGACGGUACCUGCAGAAGAAGCACCGGCUAACUACGUG
This 469-nucleotide ribosomal RNA is filed under the name uncultured bacterium. RNAcentral describes it as "partial 16S ribosomal RNA". It matches the Rfam family "Bacterial small subunit ribosomal RNA", at positions 28 to 507 of the family's 1533-position model. The record is from RNAcentral.